UGAGGAAUAUUGGACAAUGGGGGAAACCCUGAUCCAGCCAUGCCGCGUGAGUGAUGAAGGCCUUCGGGUUGUAAAGCUCUUUUAGAUGUGAAGAUAAUGACGGUAGCAUCAGAAAAAGCUCCGGCUAAAUUCGUGCCAGCAGCCGCGGUAAUACGAAUGGAGCAAGCGUUGUUCGGAAUCACUGGGCUUAAAGCGUGCGUAGGCGGAUCAGCAAGUCAGGAGUGAAAUCCCAGGGCUCAACCCUGGAACUGCUCUUGAAACUAUUGAUCUAGAAUCCCGGAGGGGCCAGUAGAAUUCUCAGUGUAGAGGUGAAAUUCGCAGAUAUUGAGAGGAAUACCAGUGGCGUAGGCGACUGGCUGGACGGGUAUUGACGCUGAGGCACGAAAGCGUGGGUAGCAAA
RNAcentral lists this ribosomal RNA (400 nucleotides) under uncultured bacterium. Its description in RNAcentral is "bacterial SSU rRNA". It matches the Rfam family "Bacterial small subunit ribosomal RNA", at positions 355 to 772 of the family's 1533-position model. The record is from RNAcentral.